ACGCAGCAGUGGGGAAUUUUGGACAAUGGGCCCAAGCGUGAUCCAGCCAUGCCGCGUGAGAGAAGAAGCCUCGAGGGUUGUAAAGCUUUUUUGUCGGGAAAGAAAUAAUUCUUUUUAAUAGGGGGGGAUGAUGACGGUACCGGAAGAAUAAGCCCCGGCUAACUACGUGCCAGCAGCCGCGGUAAUACGUAGGGCGCGAGCGUUUUUGGGAAUUACUGGGCGUAAAGCGCGCGCAGGCGGUUUUAUAAGACAGGUGUGAAAUCCCGGGGCUCAACCGGGGAACUGCAUUUGAGACUGCAAGUCUAGAGUGCGGGAGAGGGGGGGGGAAUUCCGGGUGUAGCGGUGAAAUGCGUAGAUAUGGGGAAGAACACCGGUGGAGAAGGCGGCCCCCUGGGCCGACACUGACGCUGAGGCAAAAAAGCGUGGGGAGCAAACAGGAUUAGAUACCCUGGUAGUCCACGCCAUAAACGAUGUCAACUAGUUGUUGGAAAGGUUCAUUCUCAGUAACGCAGCAACGCGU
This 520-nucleotide ribosomal RNA is filed under the name uncultured beta proteobacterium. Its description in RNAcentral is "partial 16S ribosomal RNA". It matches the Rfam family "Bacterial small subunit ribosomal RNA", at positions 346 to 860 of the family's 1533-position model. Lineage: Bacteria; Pseudomonadati; Pseudomonadota; Betaproteobacteria. The record is from RNAcentral.